Molecule: ribosomal RNA, 1388 nt
Filed under: Streptococcus thermophilus
Lineage: Bacteria; Bacillati; Bacillota; Bacilli; Lactobacillales; Streptococcaceae
Description: bacterial SSU rRNA
Rfam family: Bacterial small subunit ribosomal RNA
Source: RNAcentral
UGCAGUAGAACGCUGAAGAGAGGAGCUUGCUCUUCUUGGAUGAGUUGCGAACGGGUGAGUAACGCGUAGGUAACCUGCCUUGUAGCGGGGGAUAACUAUUGGAAACGAUAGCUAAUACCGCAUAACAAUGGAUGACACAUGUCAUUUAUUUGAAAGGGGCAAUUGCUCCACUACAAGAUGGACCUGCGUUGUAUUAGCUAGUAGGUGAGGUAAUGGCUCACCUAGGCGACGAUACAUAGCCGACCUGAGAGGGUGAUCGGCCACACUGGGACUGAGACACGGCCCAGACUCCUACGGGAGGCAGCAGUAGGGAAUCUUCGGCAAUGGGGGCAACCCUGACCGAGCAACGCCGCGUGAGUGAAGAAGGUUUUCGGAUCGUAAAGCUCUGUUGUAAGUCAAGAACGGGUGUGAGAGUGGAAAGUUCACACUGUGACGGUAGCUUACCAGAAAGGGACGGCUAACUACGUGCCAGCAGCCGCGGUAAUACGUAGGUCCCGAGCGUUGUCCGGAUUUAUUGGGCGUAAAGCGAGCGCAGGCGGUUUGAUAAGUCUGAAGUUAAAGGCUGUGGCUCAACCAUAGUUCGCUUUGGAAACUGUCAAACUUGAGUGCAGAAGGGGAGAGUGGAAUUCCAUGUGUAGCGGUGAAAUGCGUAGAUAUAUGGAGGAACACCGGUGGCGAAAGCGGCUCUCUGGUCUGUAACUGACGCUGAGGCUCGAAAGCGUGGGGAGCGAACAGGAUUAGAUACCCUGGUAGUCCACGCCGUAAACGAUGAGUGCUAGGUGUUGGAUCCUUUCCGGGAUUCAGUGCCGCAGCUAACGCAUUAAGCACUCCGCCUGGGGAGUACGACCGCAAGGUUGAAACUCAAAGGAAUUGACGGGGGCCCGCACAAGCGGUGGAGCAUGUGGUUUAAUUCGAAGCAACGCGAAGAACCUUACCAGGUCUUGACAUCCCGAUGCUAUUUCUAGAGAUAGAAAGUUACUUCGGUACAUCGGUGACAGGUGGUGCAUGGUUGUCGUCAGCUCGUGUCGUGAGAUGUUGGGUUAAGUCCCGCAACGAGCGCAACCCCUAUUGUUAGUUGCCAUCAUUCAGUUGGGCACUCUAGCGAGACUGCCGGUAAUAAACCGGAGGAAGGUGGGGAUGACGUCAAAUCAUCAUGCCCCUUAUGACCUGGGCUACACACGUGCUACAAUGGUUGGUACAACGAGUUGCGAGUCGGUGACGGCGAGCUAAUCUCUUAAAGCCAAUCUCAGUUCGGAUUGUAGGCUGCAACUCGCCUACAUGAAGUCGGAAUCGCUAGUAAUCGCGGAUCAGCACGCCGCGGUGAAUACGUUCCCGGGCCUUGUACACACCGCCCGUCACACCACGAGAGUUUGUAACACCCGAAGUCG